Molecule: ribosomal RNA, 484 nt
Filed under: uncultured bacterium
Lineage: Bacteria
Description: partial 16S ribosomal RNA
Rfam family: Bacterial small subunit ribosomal RNA
Source: RNAcentral
AUUGAACGCUGGCGGCAGGCCUAACACAUGCAAGUCGAGCGGAUGAAGGGAGCUUGCUCCUGGAUUCAGCGGCGGACGGGUGAGUAAUGCCUAGGAAUCUGCCUGGUAGUGGGGGAUAACGUCCGGAAACGGGCGCUAAUACCGCAUACGUCCUGAGGGAGAAAGUGGGGGAUCUUCGGACCUCACGCUAUCAGAUGAGCCUAGGUCGGAUUAGCUAGUUGGUGGGGUAAAGGCCUACCAAGGCGACGAUCCGUAACUGGUCUGAGAGGAUGAUCAGUCACACUGGAACUGAGACACGGUCCAGACGCCUACGGGAGGCAGCAGGGGGGAAUAGUGGACAAUGGGCGAAAGCCUGAUCCAGCCAUGCCGCGUGUGUGAAGAAGGUCUUCGGAUUGUAAAGCACUUUAAGUUGGGAGGAAGGGCAGUAAGUUAAUACCUUGCUGUUUUGACGUUACCAACAGAAUAAGCACCGGCUAACUUCGUG